This 6018-nucleotide long non-coding RNA is filed under the name Sus scrofa (pig). Its description in RNAcentral is "lncRNA (ENSSSCG00035051272.1)". The record is from RNAcentral. Lineage: Eukaryota; Metazoa; Chordata; Mammalia; Artiodactyla; Suidae.
GGCUGCACCUGCGGCAUAUGGAAGUGGGCUAGGGGUUGGAAUUGGAGCGGUAGCCGCUGGCCUACACCACGGCCACAGCAACAUAAGAUCUGAGCCAUGUCUGAGACCUACACCACAGCUCACAGCAAUGCUGGAUCCUUAACCCACUGAGCAAGGCCAGGGAUCAAACCUGCGUCCUCAUGGAUGCUAGUCAGAUUCGUUUCUGCUGAGCCACUAUGGGAACUCCAAGAGUUUCAUACUUUCUUAUGGAACCAAAUAUACCUUCACCAUGAAAACUAACACUUCCUCAAGAAAUAAAAACAGGACCACAGAAAGAUUUCAACAGCAACACUCACAAAAACUUUGGUAUAGUAACCUCAAACAGUCUAAAUCCUUAUCUGGAGGUAAAUGGAUAAAAAGUAUGGCAUAUUCACACAGCGGACUGCUACUCAGCUUAAAAAGGAAAAAACAAAACCCUACUGAUACAUGGAACAUGGGUGAAUCUCAAAAACAUACCACUGAGUGAAGGAAGGCAUCCGCAGAAGAGAAUAUAUAGUAUGAUUCCCCUUAUUUGAAACUCUAGAAGAGACAAAUCUAAUUUAGUGAUAGAAAGCAGACCAAUGGUUGUCUAGGGCCAGGACUGGGGGAGAGGGCAGGGGUUGCCUGAAGAGAGGUUCAAGGGAACUUUCUGGGGUGAUGAUGGGAGGUUCUAUAACCUGUUACUGGUUAUAUUUACAUAUAUGGUAUAAGUUUUUUGAAAUUUGUUGAAAUGUACGCUGGCAAUGAGCACAUUUCCUUGUACGCAAACCCUACCUUUAAAAAGGUCAAGAACUGUUAUUUCACACAAAAUUAGAACAAGUUUUACAAAAUCACCUGUAAUCCUACCCUUUGGAAAUAAUCCUGUAAAUAUUUUGGCACAUAGUCCAAAUGACACUGCAAACAUUUUCUUGGUAUAUAUGUCAUGUACAUUCAGGGUUUUACAAAAUCAGAGUCAUGUUACAUUUAGUAUUUUGUAACUUCCUUUUUCCAUUUAACAGCAUCUUGAACGUAUUUCCACAUCCUCAAAAGCACUCCCAUACCCACACUUUUAAUGGCUGUGGAAGCACUGCAUCCUAUGACUAUAUCCUCAUUUACAUCAUCCAGCCCUGCCUGUGGGAUAUUUAGGCUGUUUCCCAUUAUUCGCUAUCAUAACCAUGUUGAGCUAAACAUCCUCGGAGUUACAUCUUUUUGCUCAUCAAAUGGCUUCCUUGGUUGAAUUCCAAGCAGUGCAGGGGGCCAGGUCAAAGGCCCUGGUUAAGGCUGUGGAUGAGUAAUACCCCAGCAGCUCAGGACCCCAUCACUGUAGGAAUCUGGAUUUCCUUUAUCAGUGUGUGAGAUGCCCUUGAGGAUGAAUUCCAAGAGCCAGCCACCUUUUUCCUGUUGGCUCCCCACCUCCGUUCUGUCGGAGGCGAGUCCUGAGGAACACUUGCAGAAUGCACUCUUCUUGAGGGUGUGUGGGUGGAGGUGUGUGGAGGAGGGCCCUGGCACCUGCAGGGGGAAAUAUCUGAAUUGAUUGCUGGGAGCAUUUCUCUUCCUCUUGGAGCUGAGCAAGGCCUGCGGGUGGGAGGCCCCUCUGCCUGGCAGGGCUGGGAGGCAGGCCAGGUCAAGAGCCACACUUCCGAGCAAAUACCACCUGCUCCAGGUCAUUCUUGCAGCGUUAGCUGGGGCACUGCCCAGGGACCUCGCCUGGGGCACGGGUGGAGCUGGUGGCCAAAGGCCAGAACACACCCCAAAUCAGAAACUUCCCUCAUCUUUUCUUGCUGGUGUCCGAGAAGUGCUUGCUGUGGUCAGCAGGAUUUUGUUAAGUCAUGUGUCCACUGGAUCUCUCCAGGGUGGGCCACAGUAGGUAAAAAGCUACAAAAACAGGUCUCUGGCCCUUUUCUAGCUCAUUCCAGGGCCCUCCCCACAGAGCAUGUGAUACCUGCUAUACGAUCAAAUUUGGCCAAGAUUUCCAGAAGGCUGUUCUCUUUCCCCUCCUCUCCUCCCCUUCACCCCUUUCCUAUCGAAUAGAUAGAUAUUAGACCCCCCCCCCCCACUUCUCCCUUGGGGGCUCAGAUGACUAUUCCACGGUCUGUCUCCUUCAGGGGUUCAUAUUUAAUUUUCUCUCCCCCCGGGCUCCGGUCCCCAGCGCCCCUCGCCCCGCAGGGAGGAGUCACGAGGGUCUCUGGGCAGCACGCAUAGGCACAGACACACACGAAGGUCACAGAGAACGUUCUGCAUCAGUUCCUGAGACAUUCCCUAUCUUUUCAGGCUCACAGCCCUUUAAUAGGUGCUCCGGAAGAUCCCCAAAUCCUGGGGGUUCAUUGAAAAAGCCGUCAGGGUUGACAGACGUCCUCUUUGCGCCCAUGGAAAAGCACUUCCGGUUCACAAGAGCACUUCCCGGUUUGCGGAAAGUACUUCCGGCCCGAGGGCUAGGCGUGGAGAGGGGGGGCUUUGGGCUCUGGCCGUGCACCUCGAGGGCACAGCUUACCUCUGCGACACUCAGGUGUUCUCACCCAGGACUCCGGGCUGAGCACCGCGCGGGUGUGGUCCUGCUGUUGUGAGCGCCUGUAGUUAGUGUCCAGGGAGAGGUGGUCCGUCGGGGACGAAGCCAGGGACGGGGCGAAGGAACCGAGAGGCAGGACAGCUGCAUUCGGGUAUGCCCAGGCUCGCUUUUCAGGGUUGGCGCCCAAGGUCCCGUGGAGGAAGGGGCACGAGGCCAGUUUUACCUCAUCGUGUGGAAUAACUUCGCAGCCCUGGAGGCAAACAAGCCAGAUGGCAGCUUCUUGGCAACUCAAGCAUUGGACCAGGUGAGGAGUCAACCAGCAUGUGGCCAGUGGAUGGACACGAGGGGGGAGUGUCUCACAGUACCUUGUCCAGUAAGGCCUUCACAGUUUUUGACUGUCAUUCUUACGUUAUUAAUAUCAUUGUGGAUAGUUUCUUUCCUUUGUUCUGUUCUAGACAUUCCUCCAGGGAGCAGGCAUUAGUGGGGUGCAAAAGAAGGGCCUUGUGAAAGUGUUCUCCUCCUGAGCUGUGGGGACCCCAGUGUGGUUGGUGGCUGCCUUGGGGCGAGGGACAGAUGGCGGUGUCCUUGGUGAGUGAAGCUCAUCUGUUUGUUUUGAAGGAAACCCUUCUGCCAACCCAGCCACCCUUAGCUGUCUCUGUCUGGCGAGUGGGUGAAAUCCAGGUGGGCUCCCUGGCAGGAGUGGUGGGAACGUUUGGCUGGAGCUGGCCCAUUUGUUCAUGGAGGAUGGGCAGGGGGCUUCAGGGAGCAAAGGGCAGGCAGGAAACCAGCAGCCCACCCAAGUCCCUGCCGGCACAGGCUGCAGUGGGCAGAAACUGCUUCCUCUCUUGCCCGGCAUUGAGGAGAAAGGAACUAGACUCAGUUCCUGAAUUGGAAAGGAGAGGAAAGGCAAGGCUGUGAACUAUUGACAGCACUGCACUUUCCCCAGCUCUGGGAGUGAUUUGCAUGGGAACCCACGAGGCGGAAGCAGUAUUUUAGCAGCUGCUUUCCAAGGCUGAUGAACAGCAGGAGACGUGGCAGUGAAGACAACACAUCCAGAUUUCCGGUCCCCAAGUCUUUUCAGAAAAGCAGCAAACUCUGUUUGUGGCACCUGGGCGUCUCCCAUGCCAUGGCGGGUCUCGUGGGCCCAGGCAGCUGGUGCCACCCUUGCCAGAAGUGCCACCUGGGCCAGGUGCCCUCCUGCCCCGGCUCUGCACCUGGGUGUCCUUGGCUGGUCACAUCAUUUGUUGCAAGACGUGUGUACAGACUGAACUGAGGUUAUACGCAGAAAGUUGCUACUACUUAUGACUGCAAAUCUCUGCAUCCUGGACAUGAAUCAGACCUUGCUCAAUGGCCUCUAAGUAGCUCGACGUAUUUAAUGUUUCUGAUGGCAAGCAAGUCAGUAAGGACUUGCAGCAGCCACCGUAAAGUCACAACAGGGGUGUGAGUGUCCAUGCCGAGCUUGGCAGGUGACAGGCACUCAAUCGACGGACUUGUCAUAUCGAUCAGAUCGUUAGGGAGAGACCGCGGGAGAAACGAGGUACGGGUGAAGUGACCAGAAGGACAGAAGACGCAGGCCGGCAGCAUGAAAGCAGGACGCGGCCUCAGCCUGAUGCCCUGGGGGCUCCGGAGGCCCCAUCCACGGCAGAGCUGCUUUCCAAGUCCCAGCCGGUGAGCCAGGGGCUCAGGGCUGCGCUGGGGUCUGGUGGGUCUGUAGCCCUUGGAUAGUUCUCAGAAGGGAGCUCAGGUGCUUGGCUGGAGGAGCAGAAGCACAGAGAGGCUGCGGGGAGAACACCCCGAAGCCGUGAAAGUGAUGCAGCUCCAUCCGGCUGGGGCACCAGAGGUGUCUGUCUGUCUGAAGGCUGACUGGAGGCCGGGGCUGCUGGCACUUCCCGGGAGCCGCCAGGAGCCAGGGCACACUCUGCUCUUGUUUGCUGGUGAUUUGGGGCAAGUCUCUCCCCUGAUCCUUGUCUCAUCAACUGAAAUGCUCAUUUCUUCCCGCUGCACCUCCUCUGCAACUCCCUCCCUGUUCCCACCCAACUGUGGGUGCCUCCCUGAGGCUCCCCUUGCUUGUGAGUGUGCCGAUUGCGCUGGCCUCAGCCAUGUGCCCUGAGCCAGACAUCCUGGAUGCGUGUGCGGCCUCAGCCUGCCCAGAGGCUGAGAGGAGAGAAGUGUGGGGAGAAAGACGGGGGAGGAGGGAAGGGGAGAGAGGCGGGUGCUCAAGACACAGCAGGGGGAGGGACCAGUCCCCCACCCCCCACCCCGCAAGAGCACGGUGGCCCGGUGUUCCCAGUGCUGAGUCUCACCCAGGCCUAGUUCUCUCUGUCACCCGGGCAGUUGCUAAGCAUCCUUGGACCCACAGCAAGCUUCCGGCCACAUACGUUCCAAGCACCUGCUGUGCGCCGGCACAGGGCACCUGCUGUGUGCAGGCCCAGGGCAGUGAAGCCUGGGGCAGCCUCCGCUUUCACGGGCUCGUGUUAUAUACGGAGGUUCGACUUCACUCAGGGCACCAUGUGAAGGAGUUUCCUGCGGGCUCGCAGUCAAGGGCAGGGGUCCCUGCUGGUGGAGACCCUGAUGGCCUCAGCCUUCACCGUGGGCCUCGAGCAAAGACCCUCCCACGGCCCCUCCGCACUGCAUUCCUGGGGGCGUGAUCUGGACCCUGGCUACCCCUCAGGCUCAUUCACUUCCACUGGCCCUGCCCCAGAACGUUCUAAGUGCAUAUGAAUUGAAUGCUGGCUCUCACCCCAAUCUCUGCCCCCGCCCCCAGCCCUGGCCAGCAAUUCCUUACCUCAAGGAGGUCAAAGAACAAGCAGAGGAGCGUUUUAAUUGGUCUGCACGGGGCAUCCCGGCGCUGAGAGCCUCCCCCAGAGGCCCCUGCCCUCCCUUCCCCGUUUAGGUCCAUCCUCAGCCCUGACUGCUCACCUGUCUGCCCUGGGCUGUCACCCUUCCAAAUAGCCAUUUUGGGGGUCACCCCUGUGUGGGGGGGGCGCUUGCUGACCAGCCCGGCAUCACCUUUUGCUCGUCGGGGAUGAGAGUGAAGUGAUGUCCCAGCUGCCAAGCGCGGCAGGCAGUCCCUGCCGGGGUCCUGGUUAAAAAGCCUCCAUGGAGGACAUUUAGGGGACAGCUGGGAGAGAUGUAAACACGGACCCGGGAUCAGAGGAUAUUAGGGAAUUCUUGCUACUUUUUCUCGGGGAGUGAAUUGUACUGUGAGCACACGAGGAAUGUCUCUCGCUGGAGAUGCUGCAACACGGAGGGUGGCGGUACCGGCGGCUGGAAGAGACAAGAUGUGGUCCAGCAGUGUCUGUCCGACUUUCUGCUGAGCAGAAACUUUGGCAAAAAGAUUGUAGUGUUGAGUCUGAGUCAUGGAUAUAUGGGAAGCAUUUGCUUUCAUUACUGAUUUUCUCGAUUUGCGCCUUGUUCUAUAGACGUGUAAAAUCUUGUUUGAGGGCAGGUAACCCACACGGCGAGGUCGCAGGAGCUGACCGCUCAGGCGCGGGGGCCGGAUGCCACCUGAGCUG